Molecule: ribosomal RNA, 251 nt
Filed under: uncultured prokaryote
Description: partial 16S rRNA
Rfam family: Bacterial small subunit ribosomal RNA
Source: RNAcentral
ACAGAGGGUGCGAGCGUUAAUCGGAAUUACUGGGCGUAAAGAGCGCGUAGGCGGUCGUGUAAGUCAGAUGUGAAAGACCUUGGCUCAACCAGGGAACUGCAUUUGAUACUGCAUAACUAGAGUAUGGUAGAGGAAAGUGGAAUUUCCGGUGUAGCGGUGAAAUGCGUAGAUACCGGAAGGAACACCAGUGGCGAAGGCGACUUUCUGGACCAAUACUGACGCUGAGACGCGAAAGCGUGGGGAGCAAACAG